Acinonyx jubatus (cheetah) is the source of this 530-nucleotide long non-coding RNA. RefSeq lists it as uncharacterized. The record is from RefSeq and is a predicted model, not a curated record. The transcript has 4 exons. Lineage: Eukaryota; Metazoa; Chordata; Mammalia; Carnivora; Felidae.
GCUCCCUGCCCUCCGGUAGAAUAACUCAGGGAGGCACACGCUUAGCAUUUUAAUCACACUUCGGCCAACCUUCGAAGCUGGCAUGGGGGAGGGGGGAAGAUCAACUUCCUGCUGGCUUUCAAGUUUGACGACAGAACGGCCACACCAAAUGAACUUGCAGCCCUGCCGCUCUCGGUGGCCUUCUUGGCCCGGCUGGAGUCAGCGUACCCAGUCCUUCAGAAGGGAUCACGGGAACGACACCUGCCAAAUACAUGUGGAGUCCAGGAGGCUAAGAAGGCGAUUUCGUCGGGGCAUCCUGGUCACCACAACUGGACAUCGUCCUUGUGUGAGGAAGUGAUGCUCGCUGCCGAGGCUAUGAUCUUGUAGCCUUAUCCUUGGGAGGAUAAGCUGCUUCUCUCUUAGGCAAAUGGGAACCAAAACCACCCUGACCAGUUUGAGCCUAACCCCUCCCCACUCGCACCUGUGGACCCCGGAGCGACCUCUAAAAUGACCUACAACUAUCAGUACCUCAUUGUAAUAUAAAGUCUCCG